GCCGGGUGUGGUGACGCUCACCUGUAAUCCCAGCUACUUGGAAGGCUGAGGCGGGAGAAUGGCUUGAACCCGGGAGGCAGAGGCUGCGGUGAGCCAAGAUUGCGCCACUGCACUCCAGCCUGGGCAACAGAGCCAGAACCUGUCUCAU
Unclassified non-coding RNA from Pongo abelii (Sumatran orangutan), 148 nucleotides. It matches the Rfam family "Metazoan signal recognition particle RNA". From Rfam's summary of the family: The signal recognition particle (SRP) is a universally conserved ribonucleoprotein. The record is from Ensembl. Lineage: Eukaryota; Metazoa; Chordata; Mammalia; Primates; Hominidae.